AUUGAACGCUGGCGGCAUGCCUUACACAUGCAAGUCGAACGGCAGCGCGGACUUCGGUCUGGCGGCGAGUGGCGAACGGGUGAGUAGUACAUCGGAACGUACCCUGUUGUGGGGGAUAACUAGUCGAAAGAUUAGCUAAUACCGCAUACGACCUGAGGGUGAAAGUGGGGGACCGCAAGGCCUCACGCAGCAGGAGCGGCCGAUGUCUGAUUAGCUAGUUGGUGGGGUAAAGGCCCACCAAGGCGACGAUCAGUAGCUGGUCGGAGAGGACGAUCAGCCACACUGGGACUGAGACACGGCCCAGACUCCUACGGGAGGCAGCAGUGGGGAAUUUUGGACAAUGGGGGCAACCCUGAUCCAGCAAUGCCGCGUGUGUGAAGAAGGCCUUCGGGUUGUAAAGCACUUUUGUCCGGAAAGAAAUCGCGCUGGUUAAUACCUGGCGUGGAUGACGGUACCGGAAGAAUAAGCACCGGCUAACUACGUGCCAGCCGCCGCAGUAA
This 500-nucleotide ribosomal RNA is filed under the name uncultured bacterium. RNAcentral's name for it is "partial 16S ribosomal RNA". It matches the Rfam family "Bacterial small subunit ribosomal RNA", at positions 29 to 523 of the family's 1533-position model. The record is from RNAcentral.